RNAcentral lists this ribosomal RNA (1269 nucleotides) under Staphylococcus aureus. RNAcentral's name for it is "partial 23S ribosomal RNA". It matches the Rfam family "Bacterial large subunit ribosomal RNA", at positions 231 to 1501 of the family's 2925-position model. Lineage: Bacteria; Bacillati; Bacillota; Bacilli; Caryophanales; Staphylococcaceae. The record is from RNAcentral.
UCGAUUCCCUUAGUAGCGGCGAGCGAAACGGGAAGAGCCCAAACCAACAAGCUUGCUUGUUGGGGUUGUAGGACACUCUAUACGGAGUUACAAAGGACGACAUUAGACGAAUCAUCUGGAAAGAUGAAUCAAAGAAGGUAAUAAUCCUGUAGUCGAAAAUGUUGUCUCUCUUGAGUGGAUCCUGAGUACGACGGAGCACGUGAAAUUCCGUCGGAAUCUGGGAGGACCAUCUCCUAAGGCUAAAUACUCUCUAGUGACCGAUAGUGAACCAGUACCGUGAGGGAAAGGUGAAAAGCACCCCGGAAGGGGAGUGAAAUAGAACCUGAAACCGUGUGCUUACAAGUAGUCAGAGCCCGUUAAUGGGUGAUGGCGUGCCUUUUGUAGAAUGAACCGGCGAGUUACGAUUUGAUGCAAGGUUAAGCAGUAAAUGUGGAGCCGUAGCGAAAGCGAGUCUGAAUAGGGCGUUUAGUAUUUGGUCGUAGACCCGAAACCAGGUGAUCUACCCUUGGUCAGGUUGAAGUUCAGGUAACACUGAAUGGAGGACCGAACCGACUUACGUUGAAAAGUGAGCGGAUGAACUGAGGGUAGCGGAGAAAUUCCAAUCGAACCUGGAGAUAGCUGGUUCUCUCCGAAAUAGCUUUAGGGCUAGCCUCAAGUGAUGAUUAUUGGAGGUAGAGCACUGUUUGGACGAGGGGCCCCUCUCGGGUUACCGAAUUCAGACAAACUCCGAAUGCCAAUUAAUUUAACUUGGGAGUCAGAACAUGGGUGAUAAGGUCCGUGUUCGAAAGGGAAACAGCCCAGACCACCAGCUAAGGUCCCAAAAUAUAUGUUAAGUGGAAAAGGAUGUGGCGUUGCCCAGACAACUAGGAUGUUGGCUUAGAAGCAGCCAUCAUUUAAAGAGUGCGUAAUAGCUCACUAGUCGAGUGACACUGCGCCGAAAAUGUACCGGGGCUAAACAUAUUACCGAAGCUGUGGAUUGUCCUUUGGACAAUGGUAGGAGAGCGUUCUAAGGGCGUUGAAGCAUGAUCGUAAGGACAUGUGGAGCGCUUAGAAGUGAGAAUGCCGGUGUGAGUAGCGAAAGACGGGUGAGAAUCCCGUCCACCGAUUGACUAAGGUUUCCAGAGGAAGGCUCGUCCGCUCUGGGUUAGUCGGGUCCUAAGCUGAGGCCGACAGGCGUAGGCGAUGGAUAACAGGUUGAUAUUCCUGUACCACCUAUAAUCGUUUUAAUCGAUGGGGGGACGCAGUAGGAUAGGCGAAGCGUGCGAUUGG